UUUUGCUUUCGGAUUGAGUCAGCCUCAUGACUUGUUAAUUUAAUAAUUUAAUGGUCAUGAAAUAAUUUCUAUGGCCAUUCUCUCUCUGAUUCUAGUACGGCAAUUGUCUGUUACUGGCAUAAGUAUAUGUACUCAGUAAGGCCAGGAAAAGGUUAACUUAAUGACCACACUACUACGACUAAAAUGCAUUUUUGUGUGUGUAGGAUCAAUUUAAAAAAAAGAUAAAAUUUGAGUACUUUUUAGCUGUUUCCUACAGGACCCCGUACAAUUACAGAUUGGUGCACAGCUGAACAACAGGCUCUCUCUCCUAAGCCAGGCCUGAACGCAUGGGGUCACUUCCUGUGUAUGGGUGGCCAAAUGUCAAACUAGUACCAAUCUGUGCCCAAAAAGCAGCCGUAGCCGUGGGGGGCAGGUUUAUGAUGCAACCGUGGUCUCAUUGCUCUCUGAACAUCUCUUUCCCAACAGCAACAGUACAGCAACAUGACCUGGGUCAUACCGUUGCCAGUUCAAGCUUAGAGGACCAUGUUCCCCAAAUCCAAUGUGGCCCUAUAUCUCAACAGCGACUGGGAGGUCAGGCUUGGAUCCUCACUCUUGGAGCAUUCUUAUAAGGAGUCCUCCAAAGACAUAAAGAAUACCUCGCAGAGCUAAUGAACAGAGCCAGUGCGUAGAACAUGAUUUUUAGGAGGAAUAGGAACCUAGGCCCAAUAUCAACCUGGUUCCAAUCUCGCGAAGAUGUCCACCGGCCGCCCCCUAGCACAAGCCUCGUUAGCCCCAAGGUGUUGUCAUGAUGCCCCUGGACAACAGCUCUUGUUGGGCUCUUCCCAAUAGCAGUAGAUCAACAUGGCAUAUCAGCAUGAUGCCCCAAACCAGCGCUUCAUAUUUAGCUACCAGCAGUAUCCAUGCAACCAAACCUUGAUCACUCAGCAACAGAUAAAUCAGCAGCAGGGAUGGAGUUAGCCGUUUCAACGUCUGCUCAGUUGCCUCUCAGAGCCAGUCGGCUUGCUGUGUUGCUUAGCCAAUCCACUACUUAUGUCGCAGCACAAUAUCUCAUCUGGAUCCAUUCCACUGCUGGCGCAACAGCAGGUCUGUUCUCUGUACAGAGCCGUUUCUAUGACGAUGAAGUCCUACAACUCGCCCAGUACUUGCUUUUGCGUCAGGGUCAGGUUCAAGGCCUCAUGGGCUUUGGUGGUCUGGGCAAGAUGGGAAUGUUAGACAGCAACAACAACAGUUAAGAAUAGAGCAACAGCAUAAUAGACAGACACAGCAGCCAUGGCCACAACACCAACAAUAGCAGUAACAGAUGAUGGCUUAGCUUCAUCAGCAACAGCAGCAGCAGGAGCAACAAGAUCUUUAAUCAAUGGGUCAUUUAGACGUCACUUUAGAAAUUCAGAAGAUCUUCAUGAAAGAAUAAACAUGGAUUGCAUGGCAUUGAGUUUGGUUUGGAAGCAGUUACUAUCGCAGAACUCGAGCCAGCAAAGGUCAUCCUCACAGGAAUCCAGUAUCUCCAUGGUGCAGGACCCACAGUCUAUGAACGUUGUGGAGCUUGAACCUUGGACGCCAAUUGACAAAUCCAAACCGUCCAAUCAGAAAGACAGUCUGUUGCAGCGGUUAGUCAAAUCUAGGAUGCUCAGUGAUAAACAUAAAUUAACACAUGCUAGUCUCUAAUUGCCUGCAUUGGCUGUGUUGAAGUCUUGCUGUCCGUUCUGAACACUUACAAUAGAAGCCCUCAUCUUAGAAUUUUGGGAUAGGUCGAAACCCAGUGGCAUGGUGCAGACUAACAUCGCAGAAUGACAAAGAAGUACAAGCCCUGUGACCAGCAAUAAACUAAUGUGGCCAGCUAUGUUGUGUCAUGUGACCAGCCAAGCUGUGCAUAAAGAGAAAACUAUAGUUCAUGUCUUGUGGGAUUUAUGACGCUUUCAGUGAUUUGCUGUUCUAUGUUUUUGUGAUAUAUAUAGUUAUUUAUAAUCAAGUGAAGAUUACUUGUUUAAAGUGAUUAUGUAAAGUAUUAUUUGAAGUUCAAAAGAGUGCAAGCCUGUGUUGCUACUUUGUCUGUAUUGGAAAGUUUGAUCCAGAUGUUGGUAAAACAUAGAACAUAAACAUAUUUUUUAUUACAUUGAUUUCAAACUUAAGCAAAGUUGUUUAAAUAAUAUUGUUAACUUGAAUAAAUUUUCAAACAUUUAUCGGCUUUUUUCAUGAAAUAAGACAAUCUACAGUAUUGUUUUUGCCAGUAAUAUAGUAAGACGUGCUAGUUAAAAGAAAUUGUUAAGAAAGAUUCAUGGACGCUUCUAUUUUGAUUUGCCUGUCUUUGUGUCUGUAUACAAUACUCAUCAGUUUGCUCAUUAUAGUCACUUUUUAAACAAGAAUCUUGAGUAGUGUCAGAAAAUUAUAAAAGAAAAAUAUUAAUCAAUUAAGGACAAAAAAAUUUAUCUUCCGUAAAUUCCGUCAAUUUUUGUAUUGAAAACCGGUACUUUAUUAAUUAGUUACAAUUUUUAAUAAUUGUAUAAAAGCUGUAUACAUUUUCAAAAAGCUGAUAAAAGACGCAAAACCUAAAUUAUCAUCAUUUGAUGGAAGAUUAUUUGAAUUAAAUGAAAUUUGGAAGAUUAUCUUAAUUUGAAUUGCAAUGGUUUGUUAAAUGAUUAGAAAAUAUCUAUAAUUAAGUGGAAUGCUUUGAAUUUUUUUAAACUUAAGAUUUUAAUUUUUCUUUUAGUAAACAUGCAUCAAGAUGAGAUUACUUGUGAGUAAUUGCUCAUGGUAUGAUUUUGUUUAGCUAAUUGUAAAUGACACAAUUUGAAUUAUGACUUUAAUGUUCAUCGUUAGUUUUGAUCUUUGUAUUGGGACACAAUACUUCAUGAUGCUUUGUAUAAACUGUGCAUACUCAUAUAAAAAAACAAAUUUUCAAGUGAGUAAAUGAGUGAAUUAUUUUACCAAGUCAAUAUAUAUUUACAUUGUGCCAUUGUGGAUAUUGAGCAAAACAAAUCAUUUGCUGGUGUCAAUUGUAAAAAAAAAUCAAUUUGAUCAAUUAAUUGUUUUAUGUUAUAAUUUUGAUGUACAUCUUUUAGAUGCAAGUCAAUGGAAAGAACCUAAAUGACAAAUAAAAACACUUGUAUGCCAUACUUUUUAUCUGUCCAAUAAUAAUUUAAGCACAUGCUUGAAAAAAUAUUUAAUAAAAAAUAUUAAUAUCUGGAAAAUUUUGAAAUCAAUUACAUACAAGGGAGAGCAAUGUGAUGUGGUUUAAAUUUUCAAUAACUGCAAUUGUUAAUAAAUGUUCUAUAAUAAUUUUAGAUACAAGUGAAUUCUCAUUGCACCACAAACACUUGUUUAUGUGUUGUAACAGAAUUUAUAUGUAAUCAAAUUUAUUUUUAAAAAAUAUUAAAUUUCAAUGACAAUACAGUGUUGAUAUUUUUGUAAUUCUUAAUUUUAUUAUCACAUGUUCUGAAAAAAUGUCACUUAAAGAUAUACAUGUAUUUUAUACUAUAACUAUGAUAUAAUACUUGCUAAUUAUUCUAUGCUUGAAAUAUGGCUGAUAUUUAAUUUUGAUAGUUUACCAGUUGUGUUACAAUAUUUUUCACGUUGACCUCUCCACAUUAACCAGGAGUGCAAUCACAGAAGAAAGUUUCAAUAAAUCUCCCGAUUUAAAACUGCAAAAAAUGUCAGAAUUUCCAAAAAAUGUGCUUUUUUUUAUUCAAGUUGUUUGAAUGGCUGUUUUUGUUCUGUUGUUAAACAAUUAAAAUAGGUUUUAAUAUUUAAACAACAUGUCAUAUUUCAAUCAUAUCAUAUUGAUUGUAACAUAGAAAACAAAAUAAACCUUUGUGAUUAAUUUGUGUGUAUGUUAAGUAAAAGUAAAUGCCAUUUUAAAAUCAUGUCUUCAUUGGUUCGUCUUACUCAAAAGUGACCUUUUGCAGUGGAAAGGCUCUAUUGCAUAAAAUGAACUUUAUCGAAAAAGCACCAAGGCAUUUUUUUAUUGCUUGUGUACCACAUAGUUAUCAGGGAUUUCUUAAUUGACUACAUGAUUUUUUACACACCAGUUUGACCUUCGUUGAUAUUUUUAUCCCCGCCGAAAAAAAAAAUCGGAGGGGAUAAAGUAAUUGGUCAUGUCCGUCCGUCUGUCCGUCCGGCUGAAAUAUUGUCCGGAGCAUAACUCCAAAUCUAUUCAAUGGAUUUACUUUAAACUUAGAAUAUAAACAGAUGGCAACUAGGAAAAGUGCAGUGACCAAGAACCAUAACUCUAUCUACCUUAGUUUUUGAAUUAUCUCCCCUUUUAUAUGAUUUUAAAGUAAAUUUUUGUCCGGAACAUAACUCUAAAUCUACUGAAAGGAUUUACUUGAAACUUGAAAUAUAAACAGAUGGCAACUAGGAGAAGUGCAGUGACCAAGAACCACAACUCUAUCUACCUUAGUUUUUGAAUUAUCUCCUCUUUUAUAUGAUUUUAAGGUAAAUUUUUGUCCGGAGCAUAACUCUAAAUGUACUGAAGGGAUUUACUUGAAACUUUAAAUAUAAACAGAUGGCAACUAGGAGAAGUGCAGUGAUCAAGAACCUUAACUCAAUCUACCUUAUAUUUUAAUUAUCUCCCCUUUUAUAUAAUUUUAAAGUACAUUUUUGUCCGGAGCAUAACUCUAAAUCUACUGAAGGGAUUUACUUGAAACUUCAAACUUAAACAGAUGGCAACUAGGAGAAGUGCAUUGAUCAAGAACCACAACUCUAUCUACCUUAGUUUUUUAAUUAUCUUCCCUUUUAUAUAAUUUUAAAGUAAUUUUUUGCGCGGAGCAUAACUCUAAAUCUACUGAAGGGAUUUACUUGAAACUUGAAAUAUAAACAGAUGGCAAGUACGAAAAGUGCAGUGACUAAGAACCAUAACUCUAUCUACCUAAGUUUUUGAGUUAUCUCCCCUUUUUAUAUAACUUUAAAGUAAAUUUUGUCCGGAGCAUAACUCUAAAUGUACUAAAAGGAUUUACUUGAAACUUGAAAUAUAAACAUAUGGCAACUAGGAGAAGUGCAGUGACCAAGAACCAUAACUCUAUCUACCUUAGUUUUUGAGUUAUCUCCCCUUUUAUAUAAUUUUAAAGUAAAUUUUUGUCCGGAGCAUAACUCUAAAUGUACUGAAGGGAUUUACUUGAAACUUCAAACUUAAACAUAUGGCAAGUAGGAGAAGUGCAGUGACUAAGAACCAUAACUGUAUCUACCUUAGUGUUUAUAUUAUAUACCUUUAUUUAAUUUCGAAGUAAAUUUUUGUCCGGAGCAUAAUGAAUUAUCUCCCUUUAUUUGUUUUUACAAAUAUUAUUCUACUCUCUCAAACAUAUGUUGUCAUACAAGCAAACACAUUUCUGCGGGGAUUUGGCACUACUGUGACAAGCUCUUGUCUAAAUUGUGACCUUAUUGUUAAGAGUAUUUUACUAGUAAAUGUUGAAGUAUUUCUGUUAAGUGUUACCGACUAUUUGGUACAAUUAUUUAAACAUGUUUAACUGUCUUUGUAAUUAAAUUGAAUAUUUUCUAUAGUAGUUCAUUCAAUUACCAUAGUGUUUUGUUGAGCCAGAUGACAUUAUAUGAAUCAUGGUGUAGGGUCAACCACUACUAUAAUCAGUGGUUUAUUUGUAGAGGGAUAUAAUCAUGUGUUGUUAUAUUUGUGUACUUGUGGAACAAAGUUUGUUGUUCCACUGUUGAUAAGGUAUAUUUCUAUCCCUGAAUUUGAAAUAUUAUUGUACCUUGACACUGUGUUGCUAUCUUAAUAAAAAAAAAAUUAUG
Long non-coding RNA from Dreissena polymorpha, 5739 nucleotides. RefSeq lists it as uncharacterized. The record is from RefSeq and is a predicted model, not a curated record. Lineage: Eukaryota; Metazoa; Mollusca; Bivalvia; Myida; Dreissenidae. The transcript is spliced from 10 exons.